Molecule: long non-coding RNA, 3062 nt
Organism: Cydia pomonella (codling moth)
Lineage: Eukaryota; Metazoa; Arthropoda; Insecta; Lepidoptera; Tortricidae
Exons: 3
Source: RefSeq, a predicted model, not a curated record
GGCUUAUUCUCCGUUUCCACUUUGAUGCGCGCGAACAUGUCGUAGUUCGUUAUCACGCACAUUUUACCUGUAAACAAAGAGAUAGACUUAUUUAAUAAUAUUACCACAAGUUUAAUCAAUUGCUUGUUUUAAGGUACCUCUAACUUGAAAUCUGAAGACCAACUAUGUCAGCUGUCGAAGGGGCAUAACCUAUUGCAGAUCUACCAGCCGUGUUGCCAGUAGAACUGACGAGGCUAGGAGCUGAGAUUUAUCGUCGAUGUGAUGGAUCGGCGGCAAGCUGGGACUCCUCUGGUGGCUGACCUCUUCGUAUUCGUAAGGUUGUUUAUGCAGUUCCAAAGUGCUUGCAAACUGGUUUCGUGCUUGAACACGGUUGGUGUAGCGUUCGCUCGAACCCCAUGGCAAGUAAAGGUUCCUGAUUGGUGGUGGGAUGUUGUUCGACGCGUAGCGAAAACUGCCCCGGAAGGCUGCCGAUGCGUAUCUAGGAGUAAGAAGUUGGGUCGCAGACCGCCGACCCCCGCGUGACCUGCAUAUGGACAGCUUCUCGUACAGAUAAAUAGGAGUCUGACAGUUUAUUACUCCAAAGAGUAAAGCGGCAAGGUGAAGCUUACGCUUCUCGACUUAAGCUAAUCGUUACGUACUCUCUCAGUUUCAUUUCGAUUUAUUAUCAACGAUGCGUGUCAUGAAAAUAGGCACCGUUUGUCCAGAGAGAACUUCAUAGACCGCGAGCCAGGAACAGAUUGCCAUGACCAACGGCUAUGUAUGAUGAACCCUCGUGGACGUCAGCUGCCGCUCCAGUCCGUUUGGUGGGUUGAAGAAUGCAGCCACCGAAACACGUAAAAAAAAAUUUGUCGUCGCCUCCCGUUUGAUAUUUUGUUUGGUCUUUCCGCGGCGAUACAACCGGCUGACUUUUUUUUAAAUUCAAUAGCAUGUAAACUAUCAUCUGACCAUGACAAAGUAUCAGUCGGGAGGCUAUGACUGACGAUACAUGCUCAGCCUGGCCCGCGGUCUAUAAUUUUUAAAUCACUCUCUUAUUUAUAAAAUAAAAUAUAAUUUUACAUGAACAAACAUAUUCUCGUAUAAAAUAAAAUACCUAUGAAAUUGACACAAUUAAAUACAUAUGUUUUUUUUAUUGAAUUUUUGAGCACAUUGACUAUGCAUCAACCUAGGUCAGGUCUAUCUAACCAUUCUAACCUAGUUUCGUAUAUCUAGAUUAUGAUGAUUUGUCUUUAUAACUUGAAGUUGAACUCGACUCGAGGUAAAUAUUAGGUGUGUAACUAUGCGUAAUCAAUCGUUCGUAAGGUUCGCCUUUAAUGAAUAUAGCAGUCAUAACAUGGUGUGGCAUAUUUUUAAUAUAUAUAUAUAUUUUUUUUUUUUGUUAGCCGGUCAUAGUGUCCCUCUGCUGGGAAAAGUCCCCGUGAUCUCCACAGCUCCCGUUGUUGUGUUAUUUAUGGCCCGUUAAUGAUGACCGCACUAUCGGUUUCUCUCGCUACGCUUUUGGUUCAAUUUUAGAAUCUUUCGUUUGCUCAGGUCCGUCUCAAUAUUUGCAUUAAGAGGUUAAACACUUUAAUCUACAAGUUGCCCCCAUUGUGAAAUAAAUAAUUAUUACUUAAAUGUGCUUAGAAUACAAUUUAAUACAAAUGGUUACGUGUCAAUUGUUCUGGGUUCCAUUUCUCGAACGGUAUUAGUCUAAUAUUAUAGUGUGUUGCCAUGGUAACCCAUACGACUUGACAGUUGGUGGACUUAUAAUAUUAGUCUAAUACCGUUCGAGAAAUGGGCCCCUGACUAACCAACUACCUACUAACUAUAUUAUUAAAUAUCCACACAGAUUUUGCAUAGUCAUUACGGAUCUGGGGGCCUAGCCAAGAUGCCAAUCAAUCUUACAUAUUAGUGCGAUAGAGAGACAGCGUUUGGAUGUCGUAGCGCAUCUUGGCUAGGCACCCUGGAGAUCACUGUACCACUGAAUCACUUUUGACUCACCUAAUCACGAGUAUGUUCCCCUAACUCCUAAAUUGGGACUGCGUGGUGCGUGCUCGAUUGGCUUUGAUAAGAUACGGAUUAGCAUUUGGGGCACGUGCCUUAUUGCAAGUUUAGAGGGCACUAAUAUUUAUUGAGUUUAAUAGGAUGUGUACACACAGGUGUUUUGUAGUUUGCAAUGAAUGAGGACGUUUCUCGCAUUACCAUGGUACCAGGUAGGUACCUAAUUAAAUAGCUGUAGCAAAAUUCUUGUAGGUAUUCGGUUCAUACAGAAAUUAAGAAGUUAAUUGGUUUUCGUAUAAGUAAAUCAAGUCCCUUGGAAUGCCAUCCCAUGAGCUUUCCACCAUAUCAUAAAAGCAAACUAGAAAUUAUGCUUUUAUAUAUUUUUUCAAGCUGAGAGAUACCUACUUAUCUAUAUUUUAAAGUAACGUUUUUUGCUGCUAUAAUACAGUGAGGAAAAGUUGCCACGUUUCACUAAAAUUGUUAAUCGCAUUUUUUUCAUAUUUCGUAGUUUAUAGAAGGUAAAUUUCUUAGUAAAAUUGAGAGACCAGAGUUAUUUGAUAUUUUCCUUGCUCUCUAGCAAGCACUCAAAAUCAUAAUUCGCAGUAAAAACAACUUUUCUCCAUUCUCAGAGAUAGAGAUCUUUAUUUGCAUCCCAGUAUGAUACACACAUAACAUCUUGCUGGCUUAAUGAAAUAAACUACUUAUGUACUUAUUAGGUAAGUAAUUUUCUUUCGAAGAUAUUUACAGCAAAUUAAAUUAAUGAAUUUGUUAUCCACUGGUUAUUGUUAUUACUUUACAUCAGGAAGAAUAGGUACUUAUAAUAAUUAACAAAAUUGAGAAGGUAGAUUGAAUAGGAAGGUACGUACAUACCAACCGCCGCAGUUUUAAAUUCCACUCCAGUUUACAGCUUCCGUGUCUAGCAGAAAAGACUUAUCACACCGAGACGCGAAAUAAAAAAACGUAACCAUAAACCAUAACCGUGAAUUUGUUGCAAAAUGUUCCGUGCUGCAGCGCACGGCCGCGGCCGACUACAAACAUGUAAACAGACGGACGGACACUAAACUAACAACUACCAACCAACCUCU